CUCCGCCAGAAAAUUACGGGCGAAAGCCUAAAACUCAAAAGACUUGACGGUGUCCCAACCUUCCUAGAGGAGCCUGUUCCAUAAUCGACAACCCACGAUGUACCAAACCCCCCUUAGACCUAUUUCAGCCUAUAUACCGCCGUCUAGACAGCUUACCUUUAAAAGACCACAAGUAAGCCUAAUAGUAUAAUACUAACAAGUCAGGUCAAGGUGUAGCUUAUAGGGUGGAGGAAAUGGGCUACAUUAUUUACUAUAAAUUAUACGAACUAAUUAUACCCUGAAAAAGAAAACGAAGGCGGAUUUAGCAGUAAUUUAAAUAAGAAUAUUUAAAUUAA
Molecule: ribosomal RNA, 335 nt
Filed under: Cercosaurini sp. 1 OTC-2016
Lineage: Eukaryota; Metazoa; Chordata; Lepidosauria; Squamata; Gymnophthalmidae
Description: partial 12S ribosomal RNA
Rfam family: Bacterial small subunit ribosomal RNA
Source: RNAcentral